AGUGAACGCUGGCGGUAGGUCUAACACAUGCAAGUCGAACGGCAGCACAGUAAGAGCUUGCUCUUACGGGUGGCGAGUGGCGGACGGGUGAGGAAUACAUCGGAAUCUACUUUUUCGUGGGGGAUAACGUAGGGAAACUUACGCUAAUACCGCAUACGACCUACGGGUGAAAGCAGGGGAUCUUCGGACCUUGCGCGAUUGAAUGAGCCGAUGUCGGAUUAGCUAGUUGGCGGGGUAAAGGCCCACCAAGGCGACGAUCCGUAGCUGGUCUGAGAGGAUGAUCAGCCACACUGGAACUGAGACACGGUCCAGACUCCUACGGGAGGCAGCAGUGGGGAAUAUUGGACAAUGGGCGCAAGCCUGAUUCAGCCAUACCGCGUGGGUGAAGAAGGUCUUCGGGUUGUAAAGCCCUUUUGUUGGGAAAGAAAAGCAGCAGGUUAAUACCCCGCUGUUCUGACGGUACCCAAAGAAUAAGCACCGGCUAACUUCGUG
This 492-nucleotide ribosomal RNA is filed under the name uncultured bacterium. RNAcentral's name for it is "partial 16S ribosomal RNA". It matches the Rfam family "Bacterial small subunit ribosomal RNA", at positions 29 to 507 of the family's 1533-position model. The record is from RNAcentral.